RNAcentral lists this long non-coding RNA (2636 nucleotides) under Equus asinus (donkey). Its description in RNAcentral is "lncRNA (ENSEASG00005035055.1)". The record is from RNAcentral. Lineage: Eukaryota; Metazoa; Chordata; Mammalia; Perissodactyla; Equidae.
GAGAAAACACUGAUUUGUAACACUAGAAAAAGCCAAGAUAUAUCUUUGGCCAAUUUCUUAACCACACUUCUUUAGCCAUAAAAUUUUUCAUUUAUUUUACUUUUUCAGUUAUUUAUUGAAAUAACUAUCCAGAAAACAUUUUUUAAAAAGCUUUUACAUCCAGAGCUAGACUCAAUAUUAAAAGUUGGACUUAUUUUUGUACGUUAAUCUUCUAAACGGUCAUCUGCUCUUCCAGAACGCCCUAUCUCAGCGGCCAGCAUGAUGGUCCAUCCCGAGCCACAAGUCGUCUUUUCUGCUUCUGCCCUCCCUCACUCUCACAGCUAAUCCAACACCAAGUCUCAUCAAUUUUACUUCCUAAUACCACUCCACUCCAUCCACCUCUCUCCACACCCACUGCCACCGCCCUAGGAUAAGACAUUUUCAUCUCUUGUUUGCAUUCCCAUUAGUCUCCUUCCUAGGCUCCUACACCGCACUUGAACCCUGUAAUCAAUUCCCGCCUCUGCACUGCGGUCACCACCCCCAGUGCUCUCCCCACCUUAAAUUGCCCUGCGACGACCAACAUCUUCCAUGAGGCCAAAAGGCCGUUCCCACCUCUCCAGCCUCGUUAUAUACCAAACUUCCUUCCCUGCCGAAGCCACAACGCCUUUCAGAUUCUGGAAAUGCUCUUCCCCUUGGUUUAGGAAACACCAGAUGCUUGCCUGCUGCUAUCAUUCUUCUAAUUACCUCCCUAGCUAAGCCACACCUCCCUCCUCCCUGUCUCCCGCCCCCAUCUGAUUGUUGAGCUCAACAUUAAAUGCUUCCACAGUAGGGUUUCUUUCCUUUAUGGCACUUACUACAAUUACAAUUUUGUGAUUACCUUAUGACCGUCUCUCUCCUUCACUAGAUGGUAAUUUCUAUGAAGCAGGGAAUGAAUCUCAUUUAUCCUUUAUUGUAUUGUGCCUGGCACAAUAAACAGUAGUUCAUUUUCCAGAACCCUCUCCACUCUAUCUACUUUCUUAGACUGAGGCCUCUCGUGACAUGGACUUGGAACUGCGGCUUUUCAGGGAGAAAACUUCUCAGGAGUCUUAUACAUACAUGAAGCCUACUAAAUGACAAAUGGGGGAAAAGGAAAAAUCCCACAAUCCCUUAGCGACCUUCCCCAACAAAGCUUCCUCCGGGGGCUGCAAGGAGCAAGGCAACAGUCCCGUCUGCCCUUCCCGCUCUGGGGCAGAAACCAGGACCAAGCGGCCAGGAGCGCUCCGAGAAUGCACACCCGGUCACGUGCACCGGCGGCGGCCACGCCCACCCCGGAAGGGGACCUGCGGCGCGCCUCGGCUGGAGAAGGGCCCCAGCGACGUAAGGCGUGCGUGCGUACGUGCGCCGGGAUGGCGAGGCGGAAGGGCCAGGGGACUGAAGGAGCGGCUCCGGGCUACCGGGACAGCGGCUUGCGCCCGAAGUCAGCUUUAGCGCCUGGCUGAGUCCCCGACCCGCGGCAGGGCCUGCGGGGCCUCUCUGCGUCCCGCCCGACGGGAUGGGUGGCAGUGACCUUCCAGGGACACGGCCGAGGGCAAUGUCGCUUCCUUCACAGGCACGUCCCCAAGACUACGUCCUCACGCCGCAGGUUCCCCCGCUGCGUGCUCAGCGCCCCUCGCCCGUAGCUUUACCUGUACCGGCCGGCGAUGAGCAAAGUCUGUCAGAAGGAGCCGGUAAACGGGCUCCGCCGUGAGACCCCUUCGCUUUCCGUAGUGGGCGGGGCUUCGCCCGGCGUCUUUUAAAGGAAAGGUGACGUGGGAGGAGCGCCUUUCCAGCUGGCGGGAUAAAUACCUCCGACAGAAAGUGCGGGGGGCGCGCAAGUUCCUGCUGCUUAGAGGGGCGUCGCGGACUCCGUGCCGCGCUUGCGACCGUCAGCGGCUCUUCUCGUUACGUUACGUUGACGCCAGCCUCCGUGCUUCUACGUGCCCACUGGGGCUUACAGAGGCUUGUUUCCUAAACGUCUUUUGUUUAGUAAAAUGCUGUUUUAAUUUCAUGUUUAAUAAACUGUUUCAUAAGCGUCUUAUAAUUAUUGUGCGUCGGGGAGCCCUGCCCCCUGUUUGCAGAUGGGGAAACUAGUUCAGCCUGAAGUAGCUGCUUGGGAGCAAGGACCGAGGCUCCGUUUCCUCAUCACGUCCACGGCGUCUGGCACGGAGGCGCUGAUGUUGGCUGAAAUAGUGAAGUGAACCCAGACGCAGCUCGUGUGUGUGACCCGAAGUCCGAGGUUAGCGUUUGCAUGUUGAUCCUUUCCAAGCUAAACAAGAACUAGAGAUUCGUUUUAUUCUUCCUCGAUACCACGAUGCAAGUUUGUGUAGUGUAGAUGUGGGGACAGAGUGACCAGCACGGUACCUUGGCAAAUGAGCUCGUCCCUGUGCCCCAGCAGACAGUGCCAAGGAAAGAAGAUGCACGAGUUUUGUUAAUGAGACCCUGGACUUCUGUCAAACCCAAAGUCCCGAACGACAACUUUCACACUGAAAUAGCAAAUCAAGAUUUAAAGAACUUUUCCUGUUCAUGAGCCAAAAUUAUUUCUUUUAUCCACUGAUACAGGCAGAUUUUAAAAGCAGCCUGUUCAAUAAGGUCACCCAAAUGUCCUCCUGAGCGUGUGCCCAGGCCCUUCAAACCGUGGG